UACGAAGGGGGCGAGCGUUGUUCGGAAUUAUUGGGCGUAAAGGGCGCGUAGGCGGCCUGGCAAGUGGAAGGUGAAAUCCCUCGGCUUAACCGAGGAACUGCCCUCCAAACUGCUUGGCUUGAGUCCGGGAGAGGUGAGUGGAAUUCCCAGUGUAGCGGUGAAAUGCGUAGAUAUUGGGAGGAACACCAGUGGCGAAGGCGGCUCACUGGACCGGAACUGACGCUGAGGCGCGAAAGCGUGGGGAGCAAACGGG
This 253-nucleotide ribosomal RNA is filed under the name uncultured bacterium. RNAcentral's name for it is "partial 16S ribosomal RNA". It matches the Rfam family "Bacterial small subunit ribosomal RNA", at positions 524 to 776 of the family's 1533-position model. The record is from RNAcentral.